Molecule: long non-coding RNA, 922 nt
Filed under: Homo sapiens (human)
Lineage: Eukaryota; Metazoa; Chordata; Mammalia; Primates; Hominidae
Description: H1-10 antisense RNA 1
Source: RNAcentral
UGGGAGCAGGAAACCCAAAAGAGCCGGCCCUGGAACCAGGUGGAGGGGAGGCAGCCCGGCCAUGACCCAGAGCAGGACACCUGCUCCACUUCACCUUUUGCCAUGAGUAAAAGCUCCCUGAGGCCUCCCAAGAAGUUGAUGCCCUGUGCUUCCUGUACAGCUGCGGAACCGGAUGGCUUUCCGUGGCUUUGCUACAGCCACUCCUGGAAGUGCUGCCUGACUGAAUCCUCAGGGCACCCCGGCAGGAUGGACGUGGUGUACCCCCUACUUUACAGAUGGGGAAACUGAGGCUUGAGAGCUAAAGCAGCCCACCCAGCUCCCAGAGAUGAGGAGGCCGACUCUGGCAGGAGUCACUGUCGGUGCAUGGGCAUUUCUUCCUGUUACAGCCUGCGGCCCCUUCCAGGCCGGGAGGCCUUCUGCGCAGGUGCCCUGACGUGAUGGUAUGACCCAUUCUGGGAGGCCGAGAGCACCUCAAAGAACUCAGCAGGAAGCACAGUUUCAAUUCAGAAGUUCUGGAAGGCGAGGCAGGACAGGGCACCCUCCCUGCAUGGCCCGAUGACCUGCACUCCUGUUUCAUCUCCCCGUGUGGCACCUGGGGCAGCUUGGAGCCUACCAAGGUCUCAACAAGGAACCAGUAAAUACCAAAAAAAGGACAUCACGUCCCCUACAGCUAACUGCAAAUGGUGACCAUCCCAGCCCUUGUUUGAUAACACAAGCAAAGCAAUGGCUUCUUCAAGGACACCGAGAGGAACCUCACCUCUUUCUAAAACCUCCAACACAGGGCCAGGCGCGGUGGCUCAUGCGUGUAAUCCCAGCACUUUGGGAGGCCGAGGCAGGUGGAUCACGAGGUCAGGAGAUCGAGACCAUCCUGGCUAACACGGUGAAACCCCGUCUCUACUAAAAAUAAAAAAAAUUAGCCGGG